AGUCCCUACGGGACGCAGCAGCGGGGGAUAUUGCACAAUGGGGGGAACCCUGAUGCAGCGACGCCGCGUGGGUGAAGGAGCGUUUCGGCGCGUAAAGCCCUAUCGGCAGGGAAGAAGGAGGACGGUACCUGACUAAGAAGCCCCGGCUAACUGCGUGCCAGCAGCCGCGGUAAUACGUAGGGGGCAAGCGUUAUCCGGAUUUACUGGGGGUAAAGGGGGCGCAGGCGGUUCUGCAA
RNAcentral lists this ribosomal RNA (236 nucleotides) under uncultured bacterium. RNAcentral describes it as "partial 16S ribosomal RNA". It matches the Rfam family "Bacterial small subunit ribosomal RNA", at positions 335 to 586 of the family's 1533-position model. The record is from RNAcentral.